This 252-nucleotide ribosomal RNA is filed under the name uncultured bacterium. RNAcentral's name for it is "partial 16S ribosomal RNA". It matches the Rfam family "Bacterial small subunit ribosomal RNA", at positions 524 to 776 of the family's 1533-position model. The record is from RNAcentral.
UACGUAGGGUGCUAGCGUUAUCCGGAUUUACUGGGCGUAAAGGGUGCGUAGGUGGUCUUUCAAGUCGGUGGUUAAAGGCUACGGCUCAACCGUAUUAAGCCGUCGAAACAGGAAGACUUGAGUGCAGGAGAGGAAAGUGGAAUUCUCAGUGUAGCGGUGAAAUGCGUAGAUAUUGGGAAGAACACCAGUAGCGAAGGCGGCUCUCUGGACUGUAACUGACGCUGAGGCUCGAAAGCGUGGGGAGCGAACAGG